AGCAUAAUAAAUUAAAUUCAUGCAUCAUUCUGCUCCAUGGUGUCUCUUAUUAGCUCCUCCUCCUAUACCUCCAUUUGCCCCCUCAGUCUCCAGUUAUACAUGUACUUUUACAGCUGCAUAUCACAUAUCAUAAACUGCAGCAUGUUAAAUUCAAUGUACAAGUACAUGUAUUAAGUAAUUUUGUCUACUUUAAAUGGUUUAAGUCUAAAUGGUUUUUUAUUAUUGAUAAUUAUAAUUAUGUACCAAACUUGAUAAAACCAGUCACUAAAUGUCAAUCGGAGGUAGGUGUGGUUAUCUGAUGUGUCGUAUGUUGGCUCCAGGUCGUGGUUACCAUAAGGUUUUGAAAGAGAACCAAAGAUACUAAGUUCUGUCAAAAAAAUGUGAAAAAGAGGUACAUUGUUGUUUCAUGAGCCACACAUAAUUUAGUCAAUACUGCAUAUGGAUUUCAGAACAAACAAGCUACAGCUACUCAUAAAUGGUUAAUAGUGUUGAUGGAUCAUAUUGUUCACAAUGUGGGCAGCUCAACAUGCAGCAUUGUGUAAAGUACUCACUACAUGUCAUCAAGUAUCUCUGUAACAAGAGUGUACUCUUUAAAUCAAUGGACCACUGACAUACAGAUAGACACUGUAUGCAUAUACUGAUUGUAACAAAAUGCACUAAUUCCUCAAUGUCAGCUGUUCUAUUUAGCAUUUUGUGUAUUGUGAGAUUAUUACUAUUAUUAUUAUUUAACGAAAAAUUGAAUCUGUAAACUAUCA
Amphimedon queenslandica is the source of this 755-nucleotide long non-coding RNA. RefSeq lists it as uncharacterized. Lineage: Eukaryota; Metazoa; Porifera; Demospongiae; Haplosclerida; Niphatidae. The record is from RefSeq and is a predicted model, not a curated record. The transcript is spliced from 3 exons.